Molecule: unclassified non-coding RNA, 528 nt
Filed under: uncultured Glomeromycotina
Lineage: Eukaryota; Fungi; Glomeromycota
Description: SSU rRNA
Rfam family: Eukaryotic small subunit ribosomal RNA
Source: RNAcentral
AGCAGCCGCGGUAAUUCCAGCUCCAAUAGCGUAUAUUAAAGUUGUUGCAGUUAAAAAGCUCGUAGUUGAAUUUCGGGAUUGACACAUCGGUCGUGCCUUAAGGGGUAUGAACUGGUGUAGUCAAUUUCUCACCUUCUGGAGAACCGCGAUGCCCUUAAUUGGGUGCCACGGGGAACCAGGACCUUUACUUUGAAAAAAUUAGAGUGUUUAAAGCAGGCAUUUUGCUUGAAUACAUUAGCAUGGAAUAAUAAAAUAGGACGGCAUGAUUCUAUUUUGUUGGUUUCUAGGAUCACCGUAAUGAUUAAUAGGGAUAGUUGGGGGCAUUAGUAUUCAAUUGUCAGAGGUGAAAUUCUUGGAUUUAUUGAAGACUAACUACUGCGAAAGCAUUUGCCAAGGAUGUUUUCAUUAAUCAAGAACGAAAGUUAGGGGAUCGAAGACGAUCAGAUACCGUCGUAGUCUUAACCAUAAACUAUGCCGACUAGGAAUCAGACGAUGUUAAUUUUUUAAUGACUCGUUUGGCACCUUACG